RNAcentral lists this ribosomal RNA (103 nucleotides) under Geranium phaeum. Its description in RNAcentral is "4.5S ribosomal RNA". The record is from RNAcentral. Lineage: Eukaryota; Viridiplantae; Streptophyta; Magnoliopsida; Geraniales; Geraniaceae.
UAAGGUCACGGCUAGACGAGCCGUUUAGCAUUACAAUAAGUGUCAAGUGGAAGUGCAGUGAUGUAUGCAGCUGAGGCCUCCUAACGGACCGGUAGACUUGAAC